UGGGGAAUUUUGGACAAUGGGCGAAAGCCUGAUCCAGCAAUGCCGCGUGUGUGAAGAAGGCCUUCGGGUUGUAAGGCACUUUUGUCCGGAAAGAAAUCCUUGGCUCUAAUACAGUCGGGGGAUGACGGUACCGGAAGAAUAAGCACCGGCUAACUACGUGCCAGCAGCCGCGGUAAUACGUAGGGUGCAAGCGUUAAUCGGAAUUACUGGGCGUAAAGCGUGCGCAGGCGGUUUGCUAAGACCGAUGUGAAAUCCCCGGGCUCAACCUGGGAACUGCAUUGGUGACUGGCAGGCUAGAGUAUGGCAGAGGGGGGUAGAAUUCCACGUGUAGCAGUGAAACGCGUAGAGAUGUGGAGGAAUACCGAUGGCGAAGGCAGCCCCCGUGGGCCAAUACUGACGCUCAUGCACGAAAGCGUGGGGGAGCAAACAGGAUUAGAUACCCCUGGUAGUCCACGCCCUAAACGAUGUCAACUAGUUGUUGGGGAUUCAUUUCCUUAGUAACGUAGCUAACGCGUGAAGUUGACCGCCUGGGGAGUACGGUCGCAAGAUUAAAACUCAAAGGAAUUGACGGGGUCAUAGCUGUUUCCU
Molecule: ribosomal RNA, 588 nt
Filed under: uncultured bacterium
Lineage: Bacteria
Description: partial 16S ribosomal RNA
Rfam family: Bacterial small subunit ribosomal RNA
Source: RNAcentral